Long non-coding RNA from Mobula hypostoma (lesser devil ray), 427 nucleotides. RefSeq lists it as uncharacterized. NCBI's taxonomy places the organism in Eukaryota, Metazoa, Chordata, Chondrichthyes, Myliobatiformes, Myliobatidae. The record is from RefSeq and is a predicted model, not a curated record. The transcript has 4 exons.
UUUGAAAAUCAUUAAAGUCAUUGUUGCUUCUUAUUACUGUAAAGAAAAAGCUCAGAUUUACUGCCGAGGGUGACAGGCUUGAAGGCAUCAUUUUUCAGAGGUGUGUGCAAGGAAUUGCUUAGCAGACUCCAGCAGUGCAGCUGGGAACACUAGUUCAGUUGAACAGUUGACGGGCAGAUGUUCGAGGAUAUCUGCAAUGAAACUGAGGUUCACUAAAAUGAGUGGGAUACAUUGAUGGGCUUUUCCUUUGACCACCCUCCUUUCACAAGUGAAGCUGAUACACUGAUGUUGAUGGUGAAUUUCAUCAUCAAUUUCUCUUUUGCCAAGGGAUGGCUCCCAAGGUUCAAUGUGAAUAGAGAACACCACCACAUUUUUGUUUCGUUUCCUUGCUCUUAAGGUUAUGCAAUUAAAUCAUUCUAACGACAAA